AAAGAUUUAGUUAAAUCAAUAACAUUAAAUUGUCAGUUUAAAAUUAUUAUUUUUAUAAUACUCUUUU
Molecule: transfer RNA, 67 nt
Filed under: Pheidole obscurithorax
Lineage: Eukaryota; Metazoa; Arthropoda; Insecta; Hymenoptera; Formicidae
Description: tRNA-Asp
Source: RNAcentral